Molecule: unclassified non-coding RNA, 329 nt
Filed under: soil metagenome
Description: partial contains 5.8S ribosomal RNA, internal transcribed spacer 2, and large subunit ribosomal RNA
Rfam family: 5.8S ribosomal RNA (bases 1-120)
Source: RNAcentral
GAUGAAGAACGCAGCGAAAUGCGAUACGUAAUGUGAAUUGCAGAAUUCAGUGAAUCAUCGAAUCUUUGAACGCAUAUUGCGCCCCUUGGUAUCCCGAGGGGCAUGCCUGUUCGAGCGUCAUUUCACCACUCAAGCCUGGCUUGGUGUUGGGCGACGUCCUCUUUGGGGACGCGCCUCGAAACGCUCGGCGGCGUGGCACCGGCUUUAAGCGUAGCAGAAUCUUUCGCUUUGGAAGUCGGGGCCCCGUCUGCCGGAAGACCUGCUCGCAAGGUUGACCUCGGAUCAGGCAGGGAUACCCGCUGAACUUAAGCAUAUCAAUAAGCGGAGGA